RNAcentral lists this transfer RNA (72 nucleotides) under Camelus bactrianus (Bactrian camel). It matches the Rfam family "tRNA". From Rfam's summary of the family: Transfer RNA (tRNA) molecules are approximately 80 nucleotides in length. Their secondary structure includes four short double-helical elements and three loops (D, anti-codon, and T loops). Lineage: Eukaryota; Metazoa; Chordata; Mammalia; Artiodactyla; Camelidae. RNAcentral also lists the same sequence under 1 other name. The record is from Rfam by way of RNAcentral.
GAGGGUAUAGCUCAGUGGUAGAGUGCAUGUUUAGCAUGCACAGGGUCCUGGGUUCAAUCCCCAGUACCUUCA